UUCACUCUCAAGAGACCCCGUGAAAGGCGUUGGUUGGUACAGACAGCAGGGCGAUGGCCGCCGGAAGUUGGAAGCCGCUAAAGAAUGCGCAGCAACUCACCUGCCAAAUCAGCUAGCCCUGAAAAUGGAUGACGCUUGAGCGGAA
RNAcentral lists this non-coding RNA (145 nucleotides) under Gongylonema pulchrum. RNAcentral describes it as "Eukaryotic large subunit ribosomal RNA". It matches the Rfam family "Eukaryotic large subunit ribosomal RNA", at positions 1194 to 1338 of the family's 3401-position model. Lineage: Eukaryota; Metazoa; Nematoda; Chromadorea; Rhabditida; Gongylonematidae. The record is from Rfam by way of RNAcentral.